Long non-coding RNA from Harpegnathos saltator (Jerdon's jumping ant), 626 nucleotides. RefSeq lists it as uncharacterized. The record is from RefSeq and is a predicted model, not a curated record. The transcript has 2 exons. NCBI's taxonomy places the organism in Eukaryota, Metazoa, Arthropoda, Insecta, Hymenoptera, Formicidae.
UUUAAACUUUACAAUAUCGCUCAGGAACUUAUAAAUUUAAUUUUAAUAUCUAUAAGUACCCUAAUAACAACAUUUUAGCAGACUGACGGCAGACUGACGGCAGAUUGAAUUAGAGGUUUACAGCAGAUUGGUGCCAACUGUUUAUCCAUUGUGCCCACAUUCUGACGGCAGAGUCUGGCAACAUUAUUUGAUAGCAGACUGAUGCCAGAAACAAAGCAGAUCUGACGUACAUAGUCUAGUGAUAGAUUGGCGGCAAAAACGUAUCAGAUCCUGACGUACGCAGUCUGGCGGCAGAUUGACGGCAGAAAUACAACAGAUUCUGCAAUGCGCAGUUUGGUACCAGAAUGACGGCAGAAACGUAACAGAUCCUGACGUACGCAGUCUGGCGGCAGAUUGACGGUAGAAAUACAGCAGAAUCUGCAAUGCGCAGUCUGGCACCAGAAUGACGGCAGAAACGUAACAGAUCCUGCCGUUCACAGCCUGACAGCAGACUGACAAAACGAGACAGCCAAUCAGAUUCACAAUGGUGUUUAUCGUAAAUGGCGGAACACGAAGGCGACGAUGUUUCUUCUCAUAGCCUCAGGAAGCGGCGACACACGAUGACUUUGAGACGAUGUUGGAGCAAC